RNAcentral lists this ribosomal RNA (471 nucleotides) under uncultured bacterium. RNAcentral describes it as "bacterial SSU rRNA". It matches the Rfam family "Bacterial small subunit ribosomal RNA", at positions 329 to 793 of the family's 1533-position model. The record is from RNAcentral.
GCAGAGCAUCCUACGGGAGGCAGCAGUGGGGAAUAUUGCACAAUGGGCGCAAGCCUGAUGCAGCCAUGCCGCGUGUAUGAAGAAGGCCUUCGGGUUGUAAAGUACUUUCAGCAGUGAGGAAGGUGGGUAUGUUAAUAGCAUAUUCAUUUGACGUUAGCUGCAGAAGAAGCACCGGCUAACUCCGUGCCAGCAGCCGCGGUAAUACGGAGGGUGCGAGCGUUAAUCGGAAUUACUGGGCGUAAAGCGCAUGCAGGUGGUUUGUUAAGUCAGAUGUGAAAGCCCGGGGCUCAACCUCGGAAUUGCAUUUGAAACUGGCAAACUAGAGUACUGUAGAGGGGGUAGAAUUUCAGGUGUAGCGGUGAAAUGCGUAGAGAUCUGAAGGAAUACCGGUGGCGAAGGCGGCCCCCUGGACAGAUACUGACACUCAGAUGCGAAAGCGUGGGGAGCAAACAGGAUUAGAUACCCUGGUAG